ACUUGAAGGCUUUGAAGCACUCUGUGCACUUGAACUUGCGAGGGCCUCCUCCACUUCCACCGCCACCGGACGACUGCACGUGACGCUGAGGCGGGGAAAUAAAAGAAACACUCUCAGACACUGAUGCAAGGAAAAGAAAAAAGAAACAGCGCUAACGGUCAUGCUAAUGCUAAAGAGAAGCGAGGAAGCAAUUACCACCACCUCGCCUGCGCACCUGUCCACAUCACUGCCUGCGUUUAAGCCUGCCAGAUCCAGGAAUCCAGCCCGAGAGUAUUGACACUCGUUCGUGUGCUCCUUCCGUGUCUCCCGCUCCGCUCCUUCCUCCUGCCACGCCGUCAAAGCUCUUCCACCUGCCCACGCUCCCGCUACCUGCACCUUCCUUGUUCCAACGGACUCCUCAGAUAUCCUACUCCUCAGAUAUCCUACCUAACCCCGAGCUUCUACAAAUUAAACCAUACUCAUCUACUUCCUCCGCCUCCGCCUGCUUUUGGGUCCAGUCCGACAUUAUACCAUUACCAAUUGUGACACUUACCUCCGUUCCAGGCUCCAUUCUGUGUUAAUACUGCAUUGUUGGCGUCUGUCGCGUCUGUCGCGUCUUUGGCGUCGCGGCGGU
This is a long non-coding RNA of Phyllopteryx taeniolatus (common seadragon), 613 nucleotides long. RefSeq lists it as uncharacterized. NCBI's taxonomy places the organism in Eukaryota, Metazoa, Chordata, Actinopteri, Syngnathiformes, Syngnathidae. The record is from RefSeq and is a predicted model, not a curated record. The transcript is spliced from 3 exons.